Molecule: long non-coding RNA, 2586 nt
Organism: Crotalus tigris (Tiger rattlesnake)
Lineage: Eukaryota; Metazoa; Chordata; Lepidosauria; Squamata; Viperidae
Exons: 2
Source: RefSeq, a predicted model, not a curated record
CUGGAAUCUUUCUGUGGGAAUGAGAAAGAACAGACGAGAUGGUUGAAGUACAGGGAGUGUAAAUGAAUGGUUGUUAAGCUGAGGACUUCCUGGAGAUGCAGCCCAAGACAAUUCCCCAUCACUCAGUGCGGCCCAGCUUUCUCAGGUAUUCCUGGUUUGAGAAGUGCCCUACCUGACCUAAAGUGGGGAUCAACUGGACGACUGGGACGGCAAUCUUCCUCAGUCUCAACGGUCCUCAGCUGCACUGCGCAGUCUCUGCAUGUAUAACUGGCAGAAACAUCGGCCAUUAUAGAACAAGUAGAGAACUUCAGGUGGAGAAAAGUUCUUGUGGUUCAUUGACAGGUCAGCAACUGUGGGGACUUUCAGGACCUUGGACAGCUCAAACCUCAAAGGGGCUCUCUUGGGAUGUAUCUUCUGAUACAGGGGUCCUCAACCUUGGCAACUUCAAGACUUGUGGACUUCAACUCCCAGAAUCCACCCAAAACAUCAGAGUAUCUCACAUUGCAAUAAAACAAGGUUCCUCCGAGGUAACUGUAUUUAAAGCCGUGUAUGCAAAUUUUGUUUUGUAUUAAGGCACACCCACCCAGAACAUCUAGUGGUCCUGUGGUCAAUUACAGGGCUUUCAAUUCUGGGAAAGCUUGGCUUAUUAUGACCCUUUCCUGAAAUCUGAAUUUCAGCCCCAUCCUGGCAACUGGGAAAUUCCCAGUGCACUUUUAAGGAUCUCAUUUCAAUCAAUUCAACAAAAGUAAAAAAAAACACAAAAACCCUGAAUUGAGACAAAAACAGGCGGAGAAACGAAGUCUUGUAAGAAAGAAACGUUUUUCCUCUUUGCAAAGACAUAUUUUUCCAGUCUUUCUUUUCCUGUAUUUUUUUUCAGCAAACGUUUUUAUUCAUUUUCAUUUCCAGAAGAGAAGGUCACAAUAGAGGAAGAUUGAGUGAUAAUUUAAUCAAAAGGAGGAAAAGAGAGGGAAAAAAACAACAACCCCAAGAUGGCUAACAUUCUAUGAAAAAAGAAAAAAAAAACGUUCACAUAAUUUUUCUUCUUGGCGCACAGAAACAAAUCUCAAAGGUUCAAAACAAAACAAGGCACAUUACAGCUCAGUAAAGAAAAGGCAGUUUUUUUUUUCCCUUCCGAUUUUGGUCACACUUUCAUCCAAGUCCUGGCAGUUGCAAACAAGCUUGUUUCUUCCCCCCCACCCCAUGACACAAGAACCUUUGUGCAGGCUGCUGGAAGUGAGAGUAGGCCAUGUAACACUUCCAGAGGAGGAAGAAGAAGAGCUGCAACCAAGAAAAAAAAAUGACACAGGGACAUGAUUGUCUAUACCUUGAGCCGCAACUUAAGGAGGACACGUGGGCCUUCAUUAACAUGCUAGAAAUGAGCUUUGAAGACGCCCUUCAGAAGACACCCCAAAGUUCAGGCUUCACCCUUUUAAUCUCCCAGAGCAACUGUUGGUGGCAGUUGCGAUGGAGGGGAAAAGGCACAGCACGACAAUAUGCCAAAUAUAGAGAUGAACCUCCGGAGAGAAGGAAGGUGGAAGUAAGAGGUUAAGGUUGAAAUCCACAGGAGCUGAUUCUGCUCUGAAGACUGGAGAAACAAAAUAAAUAAGUAAGGUUUGUCCAUCAGCAGAAAACAAAACCCAGCACGGAUCUAGACAAAUUGACAAAUUUCUCAAAAAGAGUUUAAGAAAGUGACAGACAGGGAAGGAUUUCAAACUGAGACAAGUAGAUUUAUACAGCUUGGACAAAACUAACCGGAGGAGGAACAUACUUUCUGGUUAACAACUGAACACUUGUUAAACUCAACAUGCUAGCUAGGUUAUGACAUCGUAUGAAGUCCAGGAGAAAUUAGACAUAACAAACCAUGAUGCUGGUAACAAGCAGCCCGUUUCCUUCACUCUUCAAGCAAGCAAAUAAAAGCAGGACAGAUUUGUAUGUCAAGCCCAAGCGUGUAGACAAAUUACGCAGAAGCUGGCUUAAACUAGGAUCUCAAGACAUCUACGUUCAAAAACGGAGAAAGGAAUCUAGAGAGACCCAGAUCCCAGCAACUUUGGAGUUCACACAGAUUCCAAGACAAAGAGGUUGCCCAUGUGUGCACUUUCAGAUUUUUCCAAUUCAUCUGUUGCUCUCAAAAUUCAGAUUUCUCCACUGCCUUGUCGCGUGCUGUCAAUAUGCAACCGACUGUGAUCUACUAAGCCAGGAUUCCUGGCUUCACACAGCUUUUAAAAAUGGCCCCAAAAGACAGAGAAAGCUUUCUCUUCCCUUCUCUCUCUCCUUGGCUGAUCAAAGCCUUAUCUUUAUGGUGGAAGAUGCUUGGAAAAACAAGGUCCCUGGUCAGGUUGGAAGAGAAAAAUACCACACUCCCACAAACGAGGCAGAAUCAGGAGGAGUUUUAAUUAUCAAAAUGGUCUGAGGAGCCGGGAAGAAAGCAAAAUGAUACAAAUCAGAGAAGAGGCGGAGGAAAUGGAUCAUGGAGGAGAGGCGGGAAAGAUUCGGAAGGGAACCGCUUGAUCUUUAGUAAAAGUAGUGAGUCAAAUUCACCAGGCACGCCUGUUAAGCCGUGCGCAAAACAAAACGUUUUUUUUUUUU